GACGAACGCUGGCGGCGUGCUUAACACAUGCAAGUCGAACGGAAAGGCCCUGCUUUUGUGGGGUGCUCGAGUGGCGAACGGGUGAGUAACACGUGAGUAACCUGCCCUUGACUUUGGGAUAACUUCAGGAAACUGGGGCUAAUACCGGAUAGGAGCUCCUGCUGCAUGGUGGGGGUUGGAAAGUUUCGGCGGUUGGGGAUGGACUCGCGGCUUAUCAGCUUGUUGGUGGGGUAGUGGCUUACCAAGGCUUUGACGGGUAGCCGGCCUGAGAGGGUGACCGGCCACAUUGGGACUGAGAUACGGCCCAGACUCCUACGGGAGGCAGCAGGGGGGAAUAUUGCACAAUGGGCGGAAGCCUGAUGCAGAAACGCCGCGUGCGGGAUGACGGCCUUCGGGUUGUAAACCGCUUUCGCCUGUGACGAAGAGUGAGUGACGGUAAUGGGUAAAGAAGCACCGGCUAACUACGUG
Molecule: ribosomal RNA, 468 nt
Filed under: uncultured bacterium
Lineage: Bacteria
Description: partial 16S ribosomal RNA
Rfam family: Bacterial small subunit ribosomal RNA
Source: RNAcentral